AAACCCAAUGCCCAUACAGCAAAAUUAGAUAAGAGGAGGAGAGGAAAAGGGAAAAAAAAGGGUACGCAAAACAUACUGCAACACAGAAUAGGGAAGAAGAAGAAGAAGAAGAAGAAGAAGAAGAAGAAGAAGAAGAAGAAUGCCCAUACAGCAACAUUAGAGAAGGAGGAGGAGAGGAAAAGGGGAAAAAAAAGGUUUUCUAGGUCGCAGCAGCAGCAAGGAAUCAGGGAAGAAGAAGAAGAAGAAAAAGAAGAAGAUGAAAGAGAGAGAGAGAGAGAGAGAGAGAGAGAGAGAGAGAGAGAGAGAGAGAGAGAUAUACCUGAAAGUGCUGCUGAGUGCCACAGUUGAGAUUUGAGGGUGCCGAUCUUCCUUUCUUUUGAGGACUGAGGUAGGUGGCUUAGGGAAUUUUCUUUUAUUUGGCUUUAAAUAAUUAAAAAAAAAAAAUUACCGUUGCAUUACAGGGGUGUCGCAUCAGGGGG
RNAcentral lists this unclassified non-coding RNA (479 nucleotides) under Hevea brasiliensis (rubber tree). Lineage: Eukaryota; Viridiplantae; Streptophyta; Magnoliopsida; Malpighiales; Euphorbiaceae. The record is from RNAcentral.